RNAcentral lists this ribosomal RNA (491 nucleotides) under uncultured bacterium. RNAcentral describes it as "bacterial SSU rRNA". It matches the Rfam family "Bacterial small subunit ribosomal RNA", at positions 56 to 527 of the family's 1533-position model. The record is from RNAcentral.
UGCAGUCGAACGCGACGGCUCUUCGGAGCUUAUUAGAGUGGCGAAAGGGCGAGGAAUACUUGGGUAACGUACCCUACACACCGGGAUAGCUGUGGGAAACUACAGAUAAUACUGGAUGAGACCACGGCUCGUAAGAGCUGUGCUCAAAGGGCGGGGAUCUCUUCGGAGACCCGUUGGUGUUGGAGCGGCCCAAGUCCUAUCAGGUUGUUGGUGAGGUAAUGGCUCACCAAGCCUACGACGGGUACCGGGACUGAGAGGUUGAUCCGGCGCAUUGGGACUGAGACACUGCCCAGACUCCUACGGGAGGCUGCAGUAACGAAUAUUGGACAAUGAGCGAAAGCUUGAUCCAGCGACGCCGCGUGUAGGAUGAAGUCCCUCGGGAUGUAAACUACUGUCAGGGACUACCAAGCAAAGACUGUUAAUACCGGUCUGCGUUGAGGAAUCCCAGAGGAAGCCACGGCUAACUUCGUGCCAGCAGCCGCGGUAAUACG